AAAUUGAAGAGUUUGAUCAUGGCUCAGAUUGAACGCUGGCGGCAGGCCUAACACAUGCAAGUCGAGCGGUAGCACAGAGAGCUUGCUCUCGGGUGACGAGCGGCGGACGGGUGAGUAAUGUCUGGGAAACUGCCUGAUGGAGGGGGAUAACUACUGGAAACGGUAGCUAAUACCGCAUAACGUCGCAAGACCAAAGUGGGGGACCUUCGGGCCUCAUGCCAUCAGAUGUGCCCAGAUGGGAUUAGCUAGUAGGUGGGGUAAUGGCUCACCUAGGCGACGAUCCCUAGCUGGUCUGAGAGGAUGACCAGCCACACUGGAACUGAGACACGGUCCAGACUCCUACGGGAGGCAGCAGUGGGGAAUAUUGCACAAUGGGCGCAAGCCUGAUGCAGCCAUGCCGCGUGUGUGAAGAAGGCCUUCGGGUUGUAAAGCACUUUCAGCGGGGAGGAAGGCGGUGAGGUUAAUAACCUCAUCGAUUGACGUUACCCGCAGAAGAAGCACCGGCUAACUCCGUGCCAGCAGCCGCGGUAAUACGGAGGGUGCAAGCGUUAAUCGGAAUUACUGGGCGUAAAGCGCACGCAGGCGGUCUGUCAAGUCGGAUGUGAAAUCCCCGGGCUCAACCUGGGAACUGCAUUCGAAACUGGCAGGCUAGAGUCUUGUAGAGGGGGGUAGAAUUCCAGGUGUAGCGGUGAAAUGCGUAGAGAUCUGGAGGAAUACCGGUGGCGAAGGCGGCCCCCUGGACAAAGACUGACGCUCAGGUGCGAAAGCGUGGGGAGCAAACAGGAUUAGAUACCCUGGUAGUCCACGCCGUAAACGAUGUCGAUUUGGAGGUUGUGCCCUUGAGGCGUGGCUUCCGGAGCUAACGCGUUAAAUCGACCGCCUGGGGAGUACGGCCGCAAGGUUAAAACUCAAAUGAAUUGACGGGGGCCCGCACAAGCGGUGGAGCAUGUGGUUUAAUUCGAUGCAACGCGAAGAACCUUACCUGGUCUUGACAUCCACAGAACUUUCCAGAGAUGGAUUGGUGCCUUCGGGAACUGUGAGACAGGUGCUGCAUGGCUGUCGUCAGCUCGUGUUGUGAAAUGUUGGGUUAAGUCCCGCAACGAGCGCAACCCUUAUCCUUUGUUGCCAGCGGUUCGGCCGGGAACUCAAAGGAGACUGCCAGUGAUAAACUGGAGGAAGGUGGGGAUGACGUCAAGUCAUCAUGGCCCUUACGACCAGGGCUACACACGUGCUACAAUGGCAUAUACAAAGAGAAGCGACCUCGCGAGAGCAAGCGGACCUCAUAAAGUAUGUCGUAGUCCGGAUUGGAGUCUGCAACUCGACUCCAUGAAGUCGGAAUCGCUAGUAAUCGUAGAUCAGAAUGCUACGGUGAAUACGUUCCCGGGCCUUGUACACACCGCCCGUCACACCAUGGGAGUGGGUUGCAAAAGAAGUAGGUAGCUUAACCUUCGGGAGGGCGCUUACCACUUUGUGAUUCAUGACUGGGGUGAAGUCGUAACAAGGUAACCGUAGGGGAACCUGCGGUUGGAUCACCUCCUUACCUUAAAGAA
RNAcentral lists this ribosomal RNA (1550 nucleotides) under Klebsiella pneumoniae. RNAcentral describes it as "bacterial SSU rRNA". It matches the Rfam family "Bacterial small subunit ribosomal RNA". Lineage: Bacteria; Pseudomonadati; Pseudomonadota; Gammaproteobacteria; Enterobacterales; Enterobacteriaceae. The record is from RNAcentral.